This 454-nucleotide ribosomal RNA is filed under the name uncultured Prevotella sp. RNAcentral describes it as "partial 16S ribosomal RNA". It matches the Rfam family "Bacterial small subunit ribosomal RNA", at positions 341 to 792 of the family's 1533-position model. The record is from RNAcentral. Lineage: Bacteria; Pseudomonadati; Bacteroidota; Bacteroidia; Bacteroidales; Prevotellaceae.
ACGGGAGGCAGCAGUGAGGAAUAUUGGUCAAUGGGCGAGAGCCUGAACCAGCCAAGUAGCGUGAGGGAUGACUGCCCUAUGGGUUGUAAACCUCUUUUGUUCGGGAAUAAAUGAGCCUACGUGUAGGUUUUUGCAUGUACCGUAAGAAUAAGGACCGGCUAAUUCCGUGCCAGCAGCCGCGGUAAUACGGAAGGUCCGGGCGUUAUCCGGAUUUAUUGGGUUUAAAGGGAGCGUAGGCCGUGCUUUAAGCGUGUUGUGAAAUGUAGGCGCCCAACGCCUGCACUGCAGCGCGAAUUGGAGCACUUGAGUACGCAGGAAGUAGGCGGAAUUCGUCGUGUAGCGGUGAAAUGCUUAGAUAUGACGAAGAACUCCGAUUGGGAAGCCAGCUUACUGUAGCGCCACUGACGCUGAUGCUCGAAAGCGUGGGUAUCGAACAGGAUUAGAUACCCUGGUA